AUUGAACGCUGGCGGCAGGCCUAACACAUGCAAGUCGAGCGGAUGAAGGGAGCUUGCUCCUGGAUUCAGCGGCGGACGGGUGAGUAAUGCCUAGGAAUCUGCCUGUUAGUGGGGGAUAACGUCCGGAAACGGGCGCUAAUACCGCAUACGUCCUGAGGGAGAAAGUGGGGGAUCUUCGGACCUCACGCUAUCAGAUGAGCCUAGGUCGGUGUAGCUAGUUGGUGGGGUAAAGGCCUACCAAGGCGACGAUCCGUAACUGAUCUGAGAGGAUGAUCAGUCACACUUGAACGUAGACGCGGUCCUGAGUCCUGCGGGAAGCAGCAGUGGGGAAUAUUGGACAAUGGGCGAAAGUCUGUGCCAACCAUGCCGAGUGUGUGAAGAAGGUCUCCGGAUUGUAAAGCACUUUAAGUUGGGGGGAAGGGCUGUAAGUUAAUACCUUGCUGGUUUGACGUUACCAACAGAAUAAGCACCGGCUAACUUCGUG
RNAcentral lists this ribosomal RNA (484 nucleotides) under uncultured bacterium. Its description in RNAcentral is "partial 16S ribosomal RNA". It matches the Rfam family "Bacterial small subunit ribosomal RNA", at positions 30 to 507 of the family's 1533-position model. The record is from RNAcentral.